GACUCUGGGUGGUGGAUGACUUGGCUCGUGUGUCGACUAAGAAAGCAGCUAGCUGUAGGAGUUAUUCUGAAUGGCAGGACACAUUAAUCGCUAACAGUUUGAAUGUACUUGUGGCUCUGGGUUUAUCUUGGGGCUGUGCUUCUCUGAGUGUUG
Molecule: ribosomal RNA, 153 nt
Filed under: Sphenodon punctatus (tuatara)
Lineage: Eukaryota; Metazoa; Chordata; Lepidosauria; Sphenodontia; Sphenodontidae
Description: 5.8S ribosomal RNA (ENSSPUG00000008652.1)
Rfam family: 5.8S ribosomal RNA
About the family: 5.8S ribosomal RNA (5.8S rRNA) is a component of the large subunit of the eukaryotic ribosome. It is transcribed by RNA polymerase I as part of the 45S precursor that also contains 18S and 28S rRNA. Functionally, it is thought that 5.8S rRNA may be involved in ribosome translocation.
Source: Rfam by way of RNAcentral